UGGCCUUAGUCACGUCUGUAGAAAUUUGGAUGUUUGAGUUCCAGAUUGACUUCAGUGAUAAUUCCCUCUUUUCCUUUUCUGCUGAUGCUUAUCAUGGCUUCAUACUGGUGAGUUUUCCUGGAUUUAGAUUUCAUCCAGAUAUUGGAUGUCUUUAAGGAAAAAACGGAAUACUGUACUGUACUGUGGAUAGUCUAAGGGAAUUCUUAUUCAGGCACGAGUUAUACAAGGUAGCCUCUAAUAUUAUUUCAGAUGCAGAGAUUCCCUGAUUGUGCUGUCUUGAAAUCUGCUUUAGUGGGAUUGCACACUUCCUUGAACACAGAGACACAGCUUUGUGGACUGUGAACACCCCAGAACAGAAACCAAAUCUGCACUCUCAAAUUGACUGCAGGGAAGACUGCAUCUUAGUGAAGAAUCACUGGUGUACUGCAGAUCCUCUCCCCUGUUCUAUUCCCCACCCCACAACCCCCAACCUCCCGCCAGCUCCAUCACAGAUGCCCUCCCACAUACAUAAAAUAAGGUGUUUUAUGAAGCUCAGUACGUUACAGAACCUAAAAUCUAGCAGAGUGUAAUGGAUAUGUGCAAAGCCAACUUCAUUCAUUUACAUAACAUCAUGGAGACAAGUGAGAAGGCUCAAGAUCUAUGCCUGCUCAGUGUGGUCAUAUGUCGUCUCCCUUCGUUAUAGAGAAGAGAAUCAGCAAGCAAGAAGGGCUUCAUAUAAAUCUAAUGCCAAUGCCAACUUGAUGCUAGAAAAGAUUUU
RNAcentral lists this long non-coding RNA (757 nucleotides) under Monodelphis domestica (gray short-tailed opossum). RNAcentral describes it as "lncRNA (ENSMODG00000038743.1)". The record is from RNAcentral. Lineage: Eukaryota; Metazoa; Chordata; Mammalia; Didelphimorphia; Didelphidae.